Melanotaenia boesemani (Boeseman's rainbowfish) is the source of this 309-nucleotide non-coding RNA. RefSeq annotates it as small Cajal body-specific RNA 2. The record is from RefSeq and is a predicted model, not a curated record. The transcript has a single exon. NCBI's taxonomy places the organism in Eukaryota, Metazoa, Chordata, Actinopteri, Atheriniformes, Melanotaeniidae.
UUUUCAGUGUGGCUGAAUGAGGUGUGUUUGGGGGUUUGUGUGUGAUUUAAUUCGUUUUUCUUUUUAAAAUCUACACAGUGAUCUUAUUUGAUCUGGUCGGAGUUCGGCUCUGCUCUGAUCAGAAAUGAUAGGAAAAGCGCUCUCGAGCCUCCGUGGCGAUGAGAAGCUGUCGAGUUAAAACUGGGGCCUCCACGCUUCGUGCUGUGGUUAGAAGUGAUGAAUUGAUCAGAUAUACUAGUUCUGGGUGAGCUUUGAGGUUCGCCUCGAGUUUCACAGUGGACUGUGAGUAAAGAGGCGAUUCUGAUCUUA